UACGUAGGGGGCAAGCGUUGUCCGGAAUCAUUGGGCGUAAAGCGCGUGUAGGCGGCCCGAUAAGUCCGCUGUGAAAGUCCAGGGCUCAACCCUGGGAUGCCGGUGGAUACUGUCGGGCUCGAGUCCGGAAGAGGAGUGUGGAAUUCCUGGUGUAGCGGUGAAAUGCGCAGAUAUCGGGAGGAACACCUAUGGCGAAGGCAGCUCGCUGGGACGUUACUGACGCUGAGACGCGAAAGCGUGGGGAGCAAACAGG
Molecule: ribosomal RNA, 253 nt
Filed under: uncultured bacterium
Lineage: Bacteria
Description: partial 16S ribosomal RNA
Rfam family: Bacterial small subunit ribosomal RNA
Source: RNAcentral